AUGGUUUCUAAGACUUCACCUGAACAACAGCAACUUUGCAAAAGGAGGAGACGCGGCCUUGAUGGUUUCCAGGACUUCACGUGAAGAGGAGGAUCUUCGCGCUUCAGAAACCACGGGGAGGACACGGCCCCCCCCCGCGCCUGCUACCACAGGACCCACUCCGAUGAUCCAGGCCCCCGACAACGGGUGGGAUUCGAACCAAUCUCCUGCGACUUCCAGUCGCGGUUGAA
Molecule: long non-coding RNA, 230 nt
Organism: Mugil cephalus (flathead mullet)
Lineage: Eukaryota; Metazoa; Chordata; Actinopteri; Mugiliformes; Mugilidae
Exons: 3
Source: RefSeq, a predicted model, not a curated record